AGUGAACGCUGGCGGCAGGCCUAACACAUGCAAGUCGAGCGGCAGCGGGUUCCCGCGAGGGGAUGCCGGCGAGCGGCGGACGGGUGAGGAACACAUCGGAAUCUGCCUGGUUGUGGGGGAUAACGUAGGGAAACUUACGCUAAUACCGCAUGAGACCCUGAGUCGACGGACUGGGGGUGAAAGUGAGGGACCUUCGGCCGUCACGCGACCAGAUGAGCCGAUGUCGGAUAGCUAGUUGGCGGGGUAACGGCCCGCCAAGGCGACGAUCCGUAGCUGGUCUGAGAGGAUGAUCAGCCACACUGGGACUGAGACACGGCCCAGACUCCUACGGGAGGCAGCAGUGGGGAAUCUUGGACAAUGGGCGCAAGCCUGAUCCAGCCAUG
RNAcentral lists this ribosomal RNA (383 nucleotides) under uncultured bacterium. RNAcentral describes it as "bacterial SSU rRNA". It matches the Rfam family "Bacterial small subunit ribosomal RNA", at positions 30 to 396 of the family's 1533-position model. The record is from RNAcentral.